Molecule: long non-coding RNA, 5486 nt
Organism: Gallus gallus (chicken)
Lineage: Eukaryota; Metazoa; Chordata; Aves; Galliformes; Phasianidae
Source: Ensembl
GGAAAAUCACCAUCGCAGCAGGUGGAGCAUUUCAUUGUCUUCAAGAAGUUCAAAUUUCAAGAGCAGGGUUUGCCAACCCUUAGCAAAAAUUUAAAAAAGAUGAGAAAUUGAAGUUCAAGUCCAUUGUUGGGAAUGAAUGCCAUGUUUUGUUUCAGUGACCGCAGCAGUAAUUUUUCAGUCAGUAGUGUGUGAGCUGCAUGAGGUGUGAUGCAGUUUGGAAGUAUUCCAUCAUUUGACAGGUGUAUUUGGCAUGUGGCGAAAGUGUUGUUAAUAACAGCUGCUUCUCUGUGUGUACUUCGUAACACCAUGAAGUGUUGGCCAUUGCUUUAAUCUGUACUUAAGCAAAUUGUUCAUCCUGUGCUUCAAGAAAAUACGCUGUAUUGAAUUUGGGUAAUUCUUAUGCAGGAAUCCACAGCAGCGAAGGAAUCUCUUAGGAGUGAAGGGCUGCUGGAGGAUGCCUUAUGGAAAUGCUUGAGCUCAGAUGUAUUUAUACAAGAAGUGUGAUUGCAGAUCUCUGGGCCAGGCUGUCUGUUGACAUGUAUCAGUACAGGUUCACCGUCUAAUUGUGCUGACUAGCAUGAGGGAGAAAGAGCCUAUUGUUUAAGCACAAGGACAGCUGUGUUUAAAACCAGUUUUAUUCACCGAGUCUUACGCAUUGUCACUGGUACCGUGUCCUCCGACCACAGAAAAGCAGCAGUUGCAUGGCCACAGACUGAUAAUCUGUGGCUAAUUUUAAAAAGUCUAGACAAAAAAUUAGUGCACGCUGGCAAUUCUGUGGCCGGCAGGUAAGGGUGGCCAUCAGGGAUUUGAAAGCAUCUUUAAUAAUGAGGCAGAAAUGCAUUCUUAAAUAACAAUUCAGAGAAUUCAGAAAAUAUUCCCAAGUGCUUUGCAGGAUCAGCCAUGUUUUAUCAUCAAAUCAUCAGAUCAUCAAAAACCAAUUAAGUCAACAACCUGCAUGCCAAUGCUUAGUGCUGGAUGUCCUUGUUCAGACAGCAUGUGUUGCCUUGAACCCUCUUGGCUUUGUUGAAUCCACUCUCCAAUUGAAAGCUAUUUUAUAUUUGCUGGAAGAAAACCUCAUGUAAUGUGUGGGUUUGUUUAUCUUGCUGGAAGUUAGACAUGUUGAGCUUCACUUACGAAUUUCUCACCUUCCUUCUCAGUCAUCUUGCCUCUCCUCCCUUUCCUCGCACAGCUUACGACUUGACUGACAUCAAUUCCAAACUUCCCACUCAUUUUCAGUGGGAUGGGAGCGGUACCAGACCAUCCUGAGCUACUUCACACCUCUGAAAAAUACGCAAAGAGCAUCCUUUAUUUCAUAACACUUUUAACAGCAAUGUUUCCUGGACAUGGUUGGACAUCAGCUGCAGCUUCUGCAGAGAGAGAAACACAGGGCAAUGGGGUCUGCCAGCGAUGCCAGCAAAGCAGCGGAGCCUUCCCUCCAGCCUGGCUUUCUGUAGAAGUGCCAGAGAGCACCAGUGCCAGGAACCCAGCAGUUCUUUGAAAUACAAUCAGCUACUUCCUUCUCCCAGCAGUUUGUGAUUGAGAAAAGCUUCACAGUUGAAGAGGAUUUGGCCUGCAUUAUUUUUAAUGCAUGACUUGUGACAGCGACUAAUGUGGAAGUAGCAUGCUGACUGUCCUUAAAACAGAACUUCAGUGCUGCCUAUUAGACCUACACUGUUGGUGUUAAUCCAUACUAAGCCUUAACUUGCAGAAUAAAUCUUGACACAUUUCUGAAUUUCUUUCUUGGAGGAAAAAAAAGGAAAGUUCCCAAACAUUUAAAUUUUAUUUUUCUGUAAUUACUGAGGAAAUCCUCAGCUCAAAUAAGGCAUCAGGAGAAUGAGAGCACCAUGGCAAUUACACUGGCAGACUCCAUCAGAAUGUAUUGAACUGGGCUUCCAGGUGAAGAACACAAACGGACCCCAUAAACACCAUUGCAGGAAACUGCACCAGCAAGUCAUGUGUCAGUAACAGCUAAGCCCUUCCAUACAAGUCAGGUCUCUUAGUCUGCAGAUCUUGUCAGGCAGUAACAUGUUUUUUGAUUUCUAUGUCUUUCAUCAUCUGUUUGAAAUCUAACCUGGUGGCUUUGCUGUGUCAGGUGAGCAGAUUCUCUGUGGUAUUGAGUUGUUAGGGUCUCAGGUUGAAAAUGUUUUAAAAACUGCAACUGGGAGUGUAGUAGUGACGUGGCUGAACACCAGCAGCCCGGACAUGAGUACCAAAUGCUGAUGAAUGCACAAGGGAUCCUCCUUCAGGUGUGGGCUGGCUGCAGCGGUGCUGGACACUUGGGAGUAUAGCCUCAGCCAUGUCCCUGAAACAGCGCUGGUGGUGGUGGUGGUAGCAUAUGGAGCCCUUGGGGGCGUGUUGUGCAGCUGAUGCAAAGACAUUUUUAUUCUGGUAUUAUUGCUACUGAGCAUUGAUUUGACCAGGGAGCAUUAGAUCAGGAAGGAUGCCACUGACUUGCAUUGCUAAAUGUGUCUCUAGAUGAUCUCACCCACGUGAACCUUAAAAAAACAAAACUGGCAUGCAGACAAGCCCAUAGGAAAAGCCAGCAUUUCCGUGCAUCAGAUCCUGCUUAUGCCACUCGUGUUUCUAUGGUGAAGACAGGUUAGCAAGCUGUUAAAAUAGCUGUUCACUUCAGAAAUGGUAAACAGAUGGAUUUCCACGGCCAGUCGUAGGUGAGUGGCAGCCUGGUGGCAGCUGCGGCUGUUUGUUUCCUUCACUUUUUGGAAGUUGGUUGCUGUUGGUGUCAUACCACCAAUCAUCUUCACGGUAAUGCUGGUAUUUCCUAAUGAUGUCUCACCUCAGUGUUUGUGAGUACCUGUUUACAAUGUCCCAGGGUCCUAGUUUGACUUUCUUUCUUUUUCUUUUGAAACAGCGUCAUAUAUUCUCAGGUUAAUUAAUUUUUAGUGCUGCUUGUAGCAAGUUUAAAAGCCGCUGCUCUUGGAAUGGCCAUCCCCUGCAAGCUUUAGGCAAGAACCUGACUAGCUUGUCCAUGUUGGGUUUUCUUUCUCUUGCUCAUGAUCAACUUCAUAGCAGUUUGGCCAACAUUUUUCAAGAUCCCAAAAUGUGGGGCAAAUGCUGUCCAUGGCAGCUUUUGAAAUUGCAUGGUGGCCAUUGUGGUGUGCUCUUCUUGGUGUGCCAUUCCCCAGGUGUUUCUUGUGAAAGUAGAGAGGCUCAUAAUAGCUUGUCGGGAAGAUAUAAAUUGACUCUUGAGAGGACACAUGCUUGUGUGUGCUGUGGGCUAAACAGGAAGCCAAGGUAGAAACAAAGCAUCCUGCCAAGAUGUCCAACACAUCCUUUGUUGAGGCAAGACAAUAUCUUGGUAGUAUUUACCUAGCACGGAGUCACAGGGACUUGGAGGCAUCAUCUGGAGUGCUUCUCUAUCCCAGGACAGGUUAAGCUGUGCCUGUCUGAAAGAUGGUUGUAGAAUCCACCCUUACUUCCACAGUGCCCAUAUACAUAAUUUUAAGAGAUAGAUAGGUAAAAAAAGAUUGCGUCUUCAGAAGAUACUAGAUCAAUAUGAUGUUUUUGUUAAUAUGGCAUUAAAAAUAACGAUUAGAUAAGAUCUGAGGUGAGAUUUUGUACAGAGUGCCAGCCCGGUGUGUUUGCUAGCCACGGGACUCCCACAUGCCUUCAAAAACCUCUUCUGAAUGGUUUGUCAGGUUGCCCGUUAAUAGCCAUACCAGAGAGGUUCAAAGCAACCUUUCUCCCAGCGCUGUGUUUUCUAUCCAGCCGUUGCCUUCAAUCUGUUUUUACGGAGUUUGGACAGUAAAAACAAAACGAAAACAAACCUGUCAGCUUUUUCCUCAGCACCCUUGUGUGGAUGCUACAAAUCAGUCCUUAAAGCCAUACUACUGCGAGGUGGAACCCAAACAAGGAAAACACCCAUCUCCCACAGCAGUGCUAGCGUUCAGCCGUGCUGUGAUGUUGGUGAAUGCCGGAACGUGCCCACAGCUUCGGGCCAUCCUCUCAUGUCCACCGCCAGGCCGAGCAGCGGGCAUUUUGCUGGGCCUUCAGUGGGGUCCCAGCAAACAGCCUUCUGUCCAGCCUUGAGUCCUACCCAGCCUCUCAAUGGGAUGCCCCUUCCACACCAGUACCCCAAGUGCCCAUGGCCGGUGGAUGAAGGCCGUGCCUGCAUGCGGCCUGCUUUCUGAUCUGCCCGGGCCUAGCUUCCCCGCUUUUCAUCCACACAGCCCAGAGCAGGAAAGCCAUCACAGCACCACAGCCUUCCGCAGCGCCUCGUCUGCUCUGUGCUGCCAGUGCUAUCACUGGCCCUACCAUCCCAAGGAGAAAGGGCAGCAAGAAGCAGGUCCUGCUGGAGGCAUGACGUGACCAUCAGGUGCUGCCCCUUGGCCACGCUGUGUACAGUGGGACAGAGCCAGGCACUGACAUCCAGGCCAAGAAGGAAGAAAGUCAGAGGCUGGGUGCUGCAUCCAAGGGCUACGUUAAGUGAAACCAUGGGAGGGUGCAGACCGGAGGACCACUAAAACUGAGCUCCUUGUUCACUUGCUCCAGGUUGUGUCUGGCCCUGAUACAGGCAUGCAUGUUGCGAGGAGUAUGUGUGGGUGCAGGACCCAAGGCUACUUGACUGCAGCAAAAGCCUUUGAAAAGAUUCAGUGUGGGUGCCCACAGGCCAUGGGCUGACAUUUGAAGGGCAAUAUUUCCACAGACACCUCGCUGCAGUAGCUGACAGCAUCAGCACAUUAGGAGGAAAUGAUGUGUGUAGAAGGAAUUGGCUGAUUUUCCCAGCCCUGGCAGGGACGGGACUGUGGUGCGCCGAGAAUCUUUGGCUCCCAGUUUCACAUGUGAACUAUUAAAUAUGGUGGGUGCCCAGUCAAGCUUUCUUAGAGUUGCAAAGUGUGCACCAUGUCAGCAGUCUUUGGCUUUCACUAUCAACGUAAUCCUCAGCGAUGCCUGGAGAGGUCUGUCUCUCUGGCUGCAAUAGCCUUGUAAUCCCUCAUCCUUCUAUGGGUUUCCUGACACUGCUCUGCAGCUCCACCAGGGUAAGCAAACUGGGAUGCAGCAGGGUCAAAAGUGACAGCUAAGGCUGUUGAUGGCAGGAGAUCAACUUGGGCACUGCUAUUCACCUUUCUCCUCAGCAGUCAAAGAACCAGCAACAGCUAGUGAAGGUGAAGCUUCAGUUGGUAUUACACCCCAUGUAAGCAAUUCUCUUUCAAAAUCUGCCUGUUUUUUCCCUUUCCAGCGCAGCAGGGUGCUGCUUGCAUUUUCCCUGCUGCUGAGUGUGAGUCCCAUAGAGCUGAACAGAAGUUGCAGCACUGACAGCAAGCACCGACCCUGCAGUUGCUUGUUGAGGUACCAGAUCUCCCUUCCCUGAUGCUGACGCAACCAUCUGCCUUACGCCAAGCACAGAGGAAGGUCCGGCGGCAUGAAUAAGACACGGCGAUGCUCUGUGAUGAUGCGGGAACGGGGAGAAUCGAGUUUUCAGCAGGCCCCCUCAUAGUGGGUUUACCUGCGUAGGCAGAAGAGCGUAA